Molecule: unclassified non-coding RNA, 311 nt
Filed under: uncultured fungus
Lineage: Eukaryota; Fungi
Description: sequence contains ITS2
Rfam family: 5.8S ribosomal RNA (bases 1-52)
Source: RNAcentral
AACGCACCUUGCGCUCCUUGGUACUCCGAGGAGCAUGCCUGUUUGAGUGUCAUUAAAUUCUCAACCCCUUCAAGGUUUUUAUUAACUUUUGAAGUUGGGCUUGGAUGUGGGGGUUGCGGGCUUUUUCAAUAAAGUCGGCUCUCCUUAAAUAUAUUAGCGGAAUCUUUUUGUGAGCCGUCUUUGGUGUGAUAAUUAUCUACGCUAUAGAUGUUUGCAUAAUACGAGGUUCAGCUUCUAACAGUCCAUUGACUUGGACAAAUCUUUAUUGACCAUUUGACCUCAAAUCAGGUAGGACUACCCGCUGAACUUAA